Molecule: non-coding RNA, 72 nt
Organism: Telopea speciosissima
Lineage: Eukaryota; Viridiplantae; Streptophyta; Magnoliopsida; Proteales; Proteaceae
Source: the annotation of a RefSeq genome assembly
UCCUCAGUAGAUCAGUGGUAGAGCAGUCAGCUAUUAACUGAUUGGCCAUAGGUUCAAAUCCUACUUGGGGAG